CCGAGAAAAGUGAGAUCCCGCGAGACUCCCAGGGUAUGGUCUCUCAAGAGCCCUGGAAACGUGUGUCGGCGCCGCCGGAUGCGGCGACUUCUCAGUGGCUGUGGCUGGCGUUGGUCCGAAGCGUGGUGUUCUUCCCUGGUGUCUUUCUGCUUAUCUCUUUCCUCCCUGGGCCCUCCGGCGCGAGGGACCGUCAUCACCUCCCCGAGAGAGGUUGUCCGCGCUGCCAGGCGCUGGGCAGCAGGCUCUCCGGGUGGCCGGGCGGGCGGCGCGGAGACGUCGGCGGGCCUGAUGUCUGCCUUGAGCGCCCGCGGUCCUAGCCUGCCUGUACGCGCAGGUCACUGUAGGUGAUCUGGGGACGGGGGAAGGUGGAGCCUGCGCCUUCCCGCCUCGCGCCAUUUGCGGCCUUCGCCGGGGUGGAAUCCCUGUCUGCCUGGGCCCGCGCCAGCACGUUUCUGAAGGAUGUGACUUGGGUCUCUUACAACCCGUUUAGUACCUGUGCCCUAAGACGGAGGGGCUGUGUAGUGGCUGCCCCAUGUUUUGCCCUUCCUGAUUGUUUUCCUGAAACCUUGCGUUCUCAGGUCUUUGGAUGCCUUUUACUCGGUUGUUUUCAGGCAUAGCAAGAGGUUGAGGGACGUCGACCGCCUUUUAAACCCGCGGAAGGGCUGUAGCAACUCUUGUCUCCUAGUGCUGGCAGAACGGGGAUCGUAACACUAAUCUCUAAUCUUUGUCUCUCUUGGGUACCUUUACUGUAAUUUGGAUAUGUGGUCAUCAUUAGUGACCAGAAAUUGACUGUCAGGUACAGGCCAAUUACCUGAUUUUGUUUAGCCAGUGAGCUAAGUGGUUUUUUUUAUUUUUUAAUUUAUUUUUAUUUUUAUUUUCGAGAUGGAGUCUUGCUCUGUCACCCAGUCUGGCGUGUAGUGGCACGAUCUUGGCUCACUGCAACCUCCGCCUCCCGGGUUCAAGCAAUUCUCCGGCUUCAGCCUCCUGAGUAGCUGGGAUUACAGGCGCAUGCCACCACCCCCCGGCUAAUUUUUGUAUUUUUAGUAGAGACGGAGUUUCACCAUGUUGGCCAGGCUGGUUCUCGAACUCCUGACUUCGUGAUCCACCCGUCUUGGCCUCCCAAAGAGCUGGGAUUACAGGCGUGAGCCACCGCGCCUGGCUAAGGGUGAUUUUUACAUUUGUAAAUGGAUUUAAAAAAUCAAAAUAACAGUGUUUUGUUACACAUGAAAAUCAAGAAAUUUUAGUGCCCAUAGUUGCAUUAGAACACAGCGCACACAUUCAUUUCUGUAUCGUCUGUGGCUGCUGUUGCCAUACAGAAGCAGACAGAGUUGAGUAAUUGUAAGCGAGACCACGUGGCUGGAAAUCCUAAAAUAUUCAUUAUUUAGCUCUUUAGAGAAAAAAAUUGCCAGUCUCUCACCUCGCUGGUGGAACUCCUUAACAGACCACUGAUGUUCAGUAGGUUAGAUUAAUUGGUUUAUCUUUAUAUUAAUAGGAGUUUCUUCUGCAGCGUUAGACUACCUACAGUUUCUAUAUUUUAUGGAGCACAAUCACAGUUGACAUCUCAUUGCUAUGGUGGAGAAUAAACCCAUAGGCAUUCCUCAAAACCAUGACUCCUUUCUGUGCUUACCUCAUUGACGUAUAGGGCUAGCCUAUCAAUUGUGGACAUUUAGAUUAGCAAUCAGCCAAAAUUAUGGUGAAUUAAUUGGAGUUACUUUUAAUUGCCUGAAAUGUCAGAAUCAAUUUAGCAUAAAACUAUAGGCACAGGAAGCUUAUAGGAUUGGAGCAGCUUUUUUUUUUUUUUUCUGACUUGCAUGCAGAGUUUGUUGUUUGCUGAUUUAGGCAAAAAUCUAAGGUUAGAUGAGGCAUAGCAGUCUGUAUAAUCCUUUUAAGGGGAUGCGUUGUUUGAUAGAUUUCCUUUUGUGACAAGUCGUCUAAUGGCAUUCCAUGACCUGUCCAACUUUGUGUAGAGCACCCUAUUCUGUUGCUGUUCAUAAAAAUCUGAAUCUGUUGUCCCACACAUAGCACCAAUUGAAAAUAAAAAACAGGAGAGGGAGGAUUAAAAUUGGCCUAUACCGCCUCCUCCAAUUGCAGAAACAUCGGUGCUGCCUCCUUCGGUAGUAGAAAUAGAAACCCCAACACAAAGAAUUUUACGCUCUGCUGUCAUAGCUGGAGAGCCCUUAGGACCUUGCGCUUUUCCUGUUUCCAUAAGGCCUGAUCCAAAUAAUCCAUAGUAGGUAAUUCAUGAACACACUCCACAGGAAUUUAAGUUGUUGAAGGAAUUAAAAACUAGUGUGGUCAAUAAUGGAGUACAAAGCCCAUGGUUCCCAGAGGAAGGAAUUCUAGACAUAGAACUCUGGGAACAAGUGGGGAGAAACCUUAAACAACAUCAGGCGCAAAGGCAUCAGGUCCCAGUAAAAUCUUUAAUGUUAUGGGCUUUAAUUUGAGCAGCCCUGGCUCAGUUACACACAGAAGAUCCUAAAAAGAGGAAGGAGAAGAAAACAUCACCUGCCUUAUCACCUCCUCUUCCCUCAGCCCCAAUAUCACUGGGCCAAAAUAACAAAGAGGAAACAGAGGUCUUACCUAAGCCGCCUCCUCCUAUAGAUAGGGAAAAGGACAGAGGAUAUACUACAGCUAUCAGUCCCUGUCCAGGUGCCACUAUGUAACUAGCAUGGACCUAGGGGGACUGAACAAAGAGGGGGAACACAGGAAUGAAAGACGAGAUAAAAAUAUAUUUGGAAGAAGGGGUCGGGGGCACCUUGCCUCUAGUGGACAAGGGGCCUGAGCUUUACACAGCCCUCCGUAUUUAUUAGGCAAAAGAGAUAGCGAGAAGGGGGGCGAUUGUUGGGUAAUAGUCGGCCAUUUGGUUCACAGCAGGCUUGCGAGACUGCAUCCUUUGGACAAUAGGCGCUAGAUUUCUCAAUAGAUAACUUUAAGGAGCCUGGCACCAGGGAGUGAUGUCCUUCAGCAAACCUUUUGGUGGCAGGGCAAUGUGAAUUUGCCCACAUCCUGCAUUCAUGAUAAACAGUUUGCUGUUUGAUCAUAUAGCCUCCGGUGGAAUGCUGAGUUGGUCAUGUCCCAUGGGUCUUCGGCUCCUUGCAACUUUGCUACUUGAAUAAUGGCUAGAUGCAGUAAAACCUGACAGCUUUAUUAUUUUAUUAUUAACUGUUUUUUUGAGAUGGAGUUUCACUCUCGUUGCCCAGGCUGGAGUGCAAUGGUGUGAUCUCAGCUCACUGCAACCUCCACCUCCUGGGUUCAGGCAAUUCUCCUGCCUCAACCUCCCAAGUAGCUGGGACUACAGGCAUGCACCACCAUGCCUGGCUAAUUUUGCAUUUUCAAUAGAGACGGGGUUUCGCUCUGUUGGCCAGGCUGGUCUCAGACUCCUGACUUCAGGUGGUCCACCCACCUCGGCCUCCCAAAGUGCUGGGAUUGCAGGCAUGAGCUACCGUGCCUGGCUGACACCUUGAUUGAUUGAUUGAUUGAGACAGAGUCUCACUCUGUUGCCCAGACUGGAGUGCAGUGGCGUGAUCUCAGUUUCCAGCUUCAAGCAAUUCUCCUGCCCAAGUCUCCCUAGUAGCUGGGAUUAAAGGUGCGUGCCACCAUGCCUGGCUAAUUUUUGUAUUUUUAGUAGAGAUGGGGUUUUGCCAUGUUGGCCAGGCUGGUCUUGAAAUCCUGACCUCAUUUGAUCUGCCUGCCUCAGCCUCCCAAAGUGCUGGGAUUACAGGCAUGAGCCACUGCACCCAGCCAGCUUUUUUUUUUUAAUUAAUAUUAUUCGAGACAGGGUCUUGCUCUGUUGCCCAGGCUGGAGGGCAGUGGCACAAUCUCGGCUCACUGCAACUUCUGUCUCCUGGGCUCAAGUGGUCCUCCCACCACCAUGUGGCAGCAUGCUUGGCUAAUUUUUUUUUUUUUAAUUUACAAAGAAAAGAGGCUUAAUUGGCUUAUGGUUCUUUGGCCUAUAUAGACUUCUGCUUUUGGGGAGGCCUCAGGAAACUUACAAUCAGGGUGGAAGGUGAAGAGAAAGCAAGCACAUCUUCACAUGGCUGGCAGGAGAGAGGAGGUGGGGAGGUGCUACACACUUUCAGUCAACCAGAUCUUAUGAGACCUCUAUCUCAAGAACAGCAAGGGGGACGUCUGCCCCCAUGAUUCAAUCAUCUCCCACCAGGCCUCUCCUCCAACACUGGUGAUUACAAUUCGACAUGAAAUUUGAGUGGGGACACAGACCCAAGCCAUAUCAACUAAUAAAGAUAACACUAACUGUUGUAACAAACUGCAAAUUUUAGUUGUCUGGGCAGUGAAAUAGAAGUUCACUUCUCAUUUAUAUAAAGUGUGGUGUGGAUUGGUCCUGGGUUGAUAGUGUCAUUUCUCCAUGGGGUGACGCAAGGCCCAGGGUUUUUCUUGUCAUAGCUUCGCCAUCCCCUAGAACCUGGGAAUCUUCUAUCCCCGGGCACUGGAAACCUGGAGAGAUCAUCGGGGAAGCACACCUGAUUUUGAAAAACCCUGGCCUGGAAAUGACCACUUCCCCUCUGCUUGUAGCCUAUGGUUUGGCCAUGACAAAGACAAAGGUGGCUGGGAGAUGUCAUCUGUGGCUGGGCAGCUGUUCCCAGCAGCCCCUCUAUCUUCUGGAAGGUGGAGCAUGAAUUUUUUGUUGGUUCACUUGUGAAUCUGUCACACCAACGAGUGCUGUAAAAUUCGGAGUGGGAUUUUACAUAGAGAAAGCUAGAAAAACAACUGUGUGUUCAUGAGGCCAAGGCAUCAGGGUUGAGCACAAACAAUUUGAGUGCAGAUUUGUCUCUGCUAGUUAAUCUCACUUUACAGUGCCCCCAAUGUCAUGGGUUAUCCGGAAGGUUAUUUCAUGUACCGCCUUUGUGUGGAAGCACAUUUCCAUAGAUAGUAGAUAAAGAUCUCUUAACCUUAUAUUUUCCCUCAUAUCAUCAUAAAUAGCUUAUGCAAUGCCAUUUCAGUGAGUCUGACAACUUCUCCAAUGAGGUCUGGAUGCAGCAGCGUAUCUUUUUGUUAUAUAUAAAAAAGAGUGACAGCAUUCAUCGUUUACAGUGACAUCAAUGAAUUCUGCUUGUAGAGGUUCCCCAUCCAUCCGUUCAUAAUACCUUUUAUGACUUCAGGCUUUUAAACAUCGCACUCUGGUCUGUUUUUCAAAUAUACCACCAUUAUCGGCUCAGGAAGCCAUUCUUCAAUAUUUCAUUUUCCUAAGAAUAUCUGGAAUAUCUUAAUUCCUAUGAGGCUUCUCCAUGGGGUAGGCUCUCAGGUAGGACUUUAACAGGAAAAGGGGGAAAACUGCUGCUGGAGACACGGUUCCUGAGCACAGCUGUCUGCUCUGUACUGGGAAGUUAAAAGGGUUAGAAAAAGGGGAGUUAUAACACAGACUGAGUUAUAUCUUGGGUCAUUCCUGACCUGGAAACAUAUUAGCUCUUCAGAGCCCUUGAGUUUGCCAUCAGGAGAAGGAGAGACACCCAUUCAGGUGAAGCCUGGAACCACCAAGGGUUGGGUGAGGAAUGGGCAGUGAAUGUCCUUCCUAAGAUACCCUUCUGCUGAUGAGAAGUGCAUUCUUGGUUUCCCAGGAAGUGCCCAUUUGGACAGAGAUGGAGAAUUACGAGGGGCAUUGCUUCUCAAUGUUUUGUCACUUUUGAGGUGCCACGGUGUCUUUCUUUGGCCACCAUUUCCUGGUUUCUUCCUUGUCUGCAGAUCUUACUAGAGUUAGGCAAAAUCAAUUUCAGGUUCAGCUCUAGUGGACUGGGAACAAUCUCCAGCAGGGAACUCCCUGGACAGUCUGGGGACAGCUGGGACGAUUCCUGAAGCAACUUAGAUAGGAAAAAUCACGAUGAGCUUUGAUUUAGGGAAGAACAUUGUUGGGCACCCUGAGUCCACCUGCCACCAGCCGCGGAGGGCAUGUUAUAAACACACCAGACACGCCAAGGAUGGGAACAUUGGACCUAAUUUAGCAACAACAAAUCCUUUCCCUCAUGCAUACUUCUCUAAUUACAAAUGAGAUUGUGGUAGGCUUAGCAUGGGUAAAUAAAAUUGAUUCUGUCCACAAAAUUGGAGAUGAUAAAUGUGUUCAAGAAAGGGCUUCAAAUGCCUAGCUGCUGAUUAGAAAAGGCAAAAUAAUUGUGAGAUGGUGACUAAUAGAUGGAAGGAAUUGUGGUAGAAUUGGUCUCCUUGCAGAAAUAUCACUGGUCUGAUCUUUUCAAGAUAAUUACCAUCAAAUGACUGUGUGUUUCAUGCUCUACCCUUCAGUUGGCCGAGGCAUUGCAGGAAUCCCCACAUUGACUCGGCUGUAGGUGGCUCUGGCUUUCUCUCUGUUUGAAGCCUGUAACGGAGCCCCUCUGUUUUCUUUUUUCUUUUUUUUAAUUAUACUUUAAGUUCUAGGGUACAUGUGCACAACGUGCAGGUUUGUUACAUAGGUAUAUAUGUGUCAUGUUGGUGUGCUGCACCCAUUAACUCGUUAUUUACAGUAGGUAUUUCUCCUAAUGCUAUCCCUCCCCCAGGCCCCCACCCGCAACAGGCCCCAGUGUGUGAUGUUCCCCGCCCUGUGUCCAGGUGUUCUCUUUGUUCAAUUCCCACCUAUGAGUGAGAACAUGAAGUAUUUGGUUUUCUGUCCUUGUGAUAGUUUGCUGAGAAUGAUGGUUUCCAGCUUUAUCCAUGUCCCUGCAAAGGACAUGAACUCAUCCUUUUUUAUGGCUGCAUAGUAUUCCGUGGUGUAUAUGUACCAAUUUUCUUAAUCCAGUCUAUCAUUGGUGAACAUUUUGGUUGGUUCCAAGUCUUUGCUAUUGUGAACAGUGCCACAAUAAACAUACAUGUGCAUGUGUAUUUAUACUAGCAUGAUUUAUAAUCCUUUGGGUAUAUAGCACCCAAUAAUGGGAUCACUGGGUCAAAUGGUAUUUCUAGUCCUAGAUCCUUGAGGAAUUGCCACACUGUCUUCCACAAUGGUUGAACUAAUUUACACUCCCACCAACAGUGUAAAAGCGUUCCUAUUUCUCCACAUCCUCUCCAGCAUCUGUUGUUUCCUGACUUUUUAAUGAUCGCCACUCUAACUGGCAUAAGAUGGUAUCUCAUUGUGGUUUUGAUUUGCAUUUCUCUGAUGACCAGUGAUGAUGAGCAUUUUUUCAUGUGUCUAUUGGCUGCAUAAAAAUGUCCUAUUUUGAGAAGUGUCUGUUCAUAUCCUUUGCCCAAUUUUUGAUGGGGUUGUUUGAUUUUUUCUUGUAAAUUUGUUUAAGUUCUUUGUAGAUUCUGCAUAUUAGCCCUUUGUCAGAUGGGUAGAUUGCAAAAAUUUUCUCCCAUUCUGUAGGUUACCUGUUUACUAUGAUGGUAGUUUCUUUUGCUGUGCAGAAGCUCUUUAGUUUAAUUAGAUCCCAUUUGUCUAUUUUCGCUUUUGUUGCCAUUGCUUUAGGUGUUUUAGUCAUGAAGUCCUUGCCCACACCUAUGUCCUGAAUGGUAUUGCCUAAGUUUUCUUCUAGGGUGUUUAUGGAUUUAGUCUAACAUUUGUGGAUGAAUGAGUCUUCGUGUAGCAUUUUAAGGAGGGGAGAUGUACAGACUCAUUACAGAUGAACCUGUUUGCUAAGCACAGUACUUAAACUGCCAUUUUGAUAGAUUAACACUAGUAGUUAGAGGACAUCUUCAAAUUUGCAGGAAACAAGGUUUGAAUAGAAGAUUUGUAAGUCACUGUUCUCAGUGGCUCAUGCCUAUAACCUCAGCACUUUGGGAGGCUGAGGCAGUCAGAUUGCUUUAGGCCAGGAGUUUGAGACCAGGCUGGCCAACAUGGUGAGACCCCAUAUCUACAAAAAAUUUGAAAAUUAGCUGGGUGUAGUGGUGUGUGCCUGUGGUCCCAUCUGCUUGGGAGGCUGAGGUGGGAGAAUAGCUUGAGCUCAGGAGGUUGAGGCUACAGUGAGCUAUGGUCCUGCCUCUGCACUUUAGCCUCGGCGACAAUAAGACUCUGCCUCAAAAAAAAAAAAAAAAAAAAAGAUUUUUGACUGUGAGACUUGAUCUAGGAAUGAAUGGAAAUGCAACUGUAGUCAUGUUUCUCCUGCAUUCUUCCAUCUGCAGAAUGGCACCAUUGUUGUGCGGAUGCUGAUGCCCAGCGUUGAGCCUGUCGUCUCCUAUAUUAGGGGAAGUUCUCCUGGCCCUUCCCAACUACCUCCCCUGUGCAAGUUUAUUACAACUGAACGGCCUCAAGGAUGAAGUCUGGCUCUGUUGCCCAAGCUGGAGUGUGUUGGCACCAUCUUGGUUCACUGCAACUUCCACCUCCCAGGCUCCAGUGAUUCUCCUGCCUCAGCCUCAAGGGUAGCUGAGAUUACAGGCUGGAGUGCAGUGGCAUGAUCUCACCUCACUGAGAACCUCCACCUCCAGGGUUCAAGUGAUUCUGCUACCUCAACCUCCCAAAUAGCUGGGACUACAGGCACUUUCCCUACAUUUUCAAAGGCCUGCAUCAUCACAUCUGCCACAGCAUUCUCUAUCAUUGAGGCAUUUUCUCAGGAAAUCACCUGUGAAAUAUUUUGCAGCUAACCACCUACCUGUGCCCCACCAGCCAACAUGCUUUACUCCUGCCAGGCAGCUGUGUCACUCUGGAAGCUUUGAUCAGAAAAUUGUAGUUGCUGUUGCCUCUGAUGUGCAAGUCCAAGAUUCUUGGGCCGCAGGACAUGUUCUGCAUAUAUUCCUGGAGAAUAGACCAACAAUGAGACUGAAUCAGUAACGAAAAGUCUUCUAUGAAAGAAAAACCCAGAACCAUAUUGCUUUACUGCUUAAUUCUAAUAAACUCAUAAAGAACAACAAACACCAAUUCUUCUCAAACUAUUCCAAAAAAUUGAAGCAGGGCAGGGAGGAAUUCUUCCUAACUCAUUCUAAAAGGCCAGCAUUAUCCUGAUACCAAAACCAGACAAGGACACAGCAAAAACAGAGAACUACAGGCCAAUAUCCCUGAUGAUGCUAAAUGGAAAAAUCCUCAACAAAAUACUAGCAAAACCAAUGCAACAACACAGAAAAGAUAAUACACCAUGAUCAAAUGAGAUUUAUCCCAAGUAUGCAAUCAUGAUUCAACAUACACAAAUCAAUACUUGUGAUACAUCACAUCAACAGAGUGAAGGACCAAAAGACAUAUGAUCAUCUCAACAGAUACAGAAAAAGAUUUGAUAUGAUUCAAAAUCCCAUUAUGAUAAAAACUUUUUUUUUUUGAGACAGGGUCUCACUCUGUCACCCAGGCUGGAGUGCAGUGGCAUGAUCAUGGCUCACUGCAGCCUCGACCUCCCAGGCUUACACGAUCCUCCCACCUCAACUUUCCAAAUAGCUAGACUACAGGUGCCUGCCUGUAGUCAAGCCAUAGGUGCCAUUGCCUGGCUAAUUUUUAUAUUUUUUGUAGAGAUGGGAUUUCGCCAUGUUGUCCAGGCUGGUCUCAAAUUCUUGAGCUCAAGCAAUCUGCCCAUCUUGCCCUCCCAAAGUGAUGAGAUUAAAGGCAUAAGCCACCGCACCCAGCCUAUGAUAAAAACUUAAAUCAGGUGUACAGGAAACAUAUCUCAACAUAAUAUAGACAAUAUGUUCCAAACCCACAGCAAACAUCUUAGUGAAUGGGGAAAAGAUAAAAGUCUUUCCUCUAAGAACUGGAAGAAGAUUCGAAUGUCUACUUUCACCACUCUUAUUACCAUAGUUCAGGGAGUCCUAGUCAGAACUAUGGUAAGAGAAAAAAAUAAGGCAAGAAA
RNAcentral lists this long non-coding RNA (9701 nucleotides) under Homo sapiens (human). Its description in RNAcentral is "HSALNT0400349". Lineage: Eukaryota; Metazoa; Chordata; Mammalia; Primates; Hominidae. The record is from RNAcentral.